UAUCAUAUAAGUGUAAAUUUCACACCGUAGGACUGAUGCGACUUGUCGGAUCGUUGGCGCUAACCAUUAAUCCCAAAAGCUCGAGCUGUUAGAAAUACGCAAUCAAUUCACUUAAAGCGUACAGGUACAGCGCCCACGGAUCUCGAUUGUGACUCGGUCCAUCCAGCCUCACGCCGCUUCGAACAUGACUCGGCCCAACCCAGGCUCACGCCAUUUCGAAUAUGACUCGGCCCAUAUGGCCUCCCGCCACAGGACAGGAUGCUGGUCUAUUUAAGCCAACAGUGACUCAUGCUUUCUAGCUUUUCUUAUUAAU
RNAcentral lists this long non-coding RNA (313 nucleotides) under Ananas comosus (pineapple). Its description in RNAcentral is "long non-coding RNA (ACOM_LNC012286)". Lineage: Eukaryota; Viridiplantae; Streptophyta; Magnoliopsida; Poales; Bromeliaceae. The record is from RNAcentral.